Molecule: long non-coding RNA, 849 nt
Filed under: Solanum tuberosum (potato)
Lineage: Eukaryota; Viridiplantae; Streptophyta; Magnoliopsida; Solanales; Solanaceae
Description: long non-coding RNA (STUB_LNC010102)
Source: RNAcentral
GUUGAAAUUAUUAUCAACUUCUGAACAUCUUUACCUAUGUUUGUGGUUUUAACUAUAAAAGGAAGUUCCAAUGAUCUGGAGGUAACGAAAAACUACAGCCACAUUAGUGGCAUUAUCUUUCUGUAUCAGCACAUUCUUUUCUUUCUUUGCAGUAAAUUGAGUUCACUCUUGAUCACACACCACUUUAGACUCUCUAAAGAGUUCCAUUUUCUCUCAGGCACAUCAAUAGUGUGGAAUGCACACCAACAGGUCAAAACCAAGAGUCCAUAGAAAUGAAUCAACAACAGUGGCUUGAAGCAGAUUUAUUGGAUAUUACUCCUUUCGACCUAUGCCUUUGCUGCUGCAAUUUAAGGCCUUAAACUCGGAAUGAACCAUGUUUUUGUUUUCCACUAGUAUUAUUAUGCAAUGUGGAUCCCUCAUGUCUGUGUAACUUUUUCUUUUUGGUUGAUACUUGGUAUCUGCUUUGUUUUGUGCUAAUUUGGCCAUAGAAUAAUUGAAGCAAUUGAGUAUGAUCGACAGUAGCUAAUUUCUUUCAUUAACAAAAUCUUCAAUUGAAUUGAGUCAUAUUUAGAGUGCAGAAAGCUCAAUUUUGUGUUGAAAUACACACAAAUUAUAGCAAUAGUCUGUCUAAAUCAUAAUAACACUAGUAAAUUACUAUUCAUUAGCAAGAACUUAAAACACUCUUCUUUACGGGACACCCUAAUCCAUAAUUAUUUAUCUACUAAUUAAAAAUACUAUAUAGUUUUUUUUUUCUUUCUGAAACUGCAUCUCUCCUUCUUGUUGCAUCUUUAUCAUCUUCAUCAAUUAUAUCUUCCUAUUGUUCAUGUUUUUAACUACUUGGAGUUCAAA